CCGUGUUUGCAUUUGUGUGAUGCGGCCACUCACUCACCUGUGUCCGCUGGCUCACACCUGUCCCUUCUUCACUUGCGCACCUGUGUUGCGUGUCCUGUGUCUGCUUGCACAUCUGUGUGAUGUGUCUACUCGCUCACACCUGUCCCGUAUCCUCCACUCACACACCUGUCUUGGUCUGGGACACCUGGGUCCCACUCUCCCCUGCACUCCUCAGGCUGGCGGCAGAGGCCAGAGGAACGGAGUUUUGUGGCUAGAAUCAUUCCGAGCAAGGCAGGGACGUGGUGGUGUGGACUCCACUGCGCCUCCUCCUGCCCACCGAGCCCCGCCUGCCUGGGCCUUGGUGCUUCUGUCGCUGCUCCUGGUCCCCCUGCUGGGGCCCCUCCGCCGCUGGGCUGAGGCUGGAGCCGCUGCCUCCCGCCACCAGAGGGAGGAGGUCAUAAAUAACCCUGGGGCUGCCGUGGAGCAGAGCUGACGGUGACCCCAGACGUCCUGGGGGAGUGCGGGGGCGCCGGGGGCCGCUGCCCCAGCCCGCAUGCCGCCUCUGCCAUCCGGGAGUGCCUGCCCAGGCUCCCCAGCAUUUCUGUUAGAGCGCCUCUCAUCCAUCCCCUCAUCAAUCAGUCAACCAUUGAUUGAGCCCAGAUGUGGUACAGCCCCAGCCAGAGAGGACCCAGAGGUGGGGUGGGGAGGAGAGAGAUGGGGAAGCCAAGUCCGGGGCCACAGGUGCAGCCAGGAGGUGCAGGUGAGCAGCGCUCAGGCCAGCCCAUCAGCCUCAGUCCUGAGUUUACUUCUGGUGAUGGAGGGAGAUAUGCACAAAAGAUCCUGCAGCCCGCAGGUGUGGCACAGCUGACCUCGGGCCAAGGAUGUACAGCUGUGUGUGUGCCUGGCCACCAGCAAGGGCAUGCGUGCUCAGAAGCACAGGUGUGCCCACACCCUGCAUGCCUGUGUGUGGCGCAGCAGCUCCAGACUCACGCGCAUGACACACACACAGCACAGACAGACCCUCCUAUGGCCACAGGGACAACAGUGCAGACAAGAUGUGCACUGCCCUCCAAGGCCGGUGCGCAACACAGACCCAGGACCUGUGGGCACCCGCACCGCACAGACCCGACACACACGAUCCCCAGCCAAGGCGGCCUGCCCAGUGCCAGGGCUCAGUCCUGGUGCUGUUGGACGGAAAGGCUAACCCAGGAGGUGAGGGGUUGUGGUAAAUCAGCUGUGCUCCCUCAGAUGCUCCUGCAGAAGCAGCCAGGACCUCAGGAACGCACCUGCUCCUGCUCAGACAGGAGGAGCUGCUGCGCUGCAACCUGCCUGCGCCUUUGGGUGCCGUGAGCUGGCUGCGUGCCACGUGGUUUCGGGGACGUAAGAAGGUGUCUCCAAGUCCAGUCUGUCCACCGACCUGAACCUUUACCACUGAAAGAAGAAAGGGGUGGGGCCCGAGGGACCCUUCCCUGCGCUCCCAUGGUGUGUAGUCAGGGAUGCUCGUGCAGGCACACACAGCUGGGCUCUGACCGCCGGAUCGCAGGGGUGGUGCUGUGCUCCUCACCUGCCAUGUCACCAGAGUGCUGACACGCACACCGGAGACGGUGCUAGGCCUGGCACAUCCCAGCCAAUUCCUCUGUAAAUGAUGCAGAAGCUGCAGCACCUUGAGGCUAAGCCAAGGGAAGCAAUGGAAUUCUCCAGAGCCCCAAGGAAGCGGGAGGGUCUGUCCCAGUGAACGUACUCGGCCAAUUCCACCCUGUCCUCCCCCUGCCAACGCUGCUGGCCUGCAGCCUGGACCUGGCCUGGGUUGUGGAGGGGAUCAGAGGCUGCAGCGGCUGCCUGCUGGGUGCACGUGGGCCUAGGUGGUCCUCAGCCCUCAGCCCUCAUGGCAGGAGCCCCCGAAGCACUGCUGUGGCACCCUCUCUGACAUCAGGCCAGGGAGACGCUGGGAGCCGGGUGCAGAGCCAGGGCCCAGCACGCAGGCCUUGGGCUCCAGCCCGUCCCCCACAUCUGGAAUGUGCCAGCAGGGCCCUGUAUGAGAGAAGAGCGGAUCCCUACGUGAGUAAGGGUGGAGGGAUGGUGCCUCUGCCAUGGCCACGGUGCCGCCAUCCACAUCAGCUCACUCUCAGCACAGAUCCUGUGUGAAGGCCUCAGGUGCCACGAUCCUCGUUCCAAGGGCCCUAACAGGUCGGGCUCCUGCUGUGCUGGCUCCACAUUGACUAGCUGGUGGGCUUGGCGGGUCUAUGGUCACAGAGAGACCAGAACCCGCAUAACAGGCCCGAUGAGGAUGCCAGGCUGCACUGACCCCCGAGCUUCAGAGGAAAGGGGCACCAGCUGGGAGCCCUGCACAGACAGCCUCAGGUGCAAGAAGCUGGAGCCCAGGACAGCUGGGGAGGGGCGGGGUGUGGUGGCUGGAAGUUGCUGUUCUCAGACCCAGCUCUGAGACCCUCUCCAACUGCAGGGGGAGUCCAGGCUGGACCCCAGAUGUGACUGUGUAUGUGCUGGGAUGGGAGCCCCCUGAGAGCAGGGCUUUUGUUAAUUCACCAACAAUCUCACACGUCUGGCAUGAGACAGGUGCUCAGGCAGUGAAUACCACAUACAGGGGGUCCUCCACUGUGUCCAGGGGAGGGUGGGCCCUGCUCGCAGCCAGACUGGGUAUAGCCCUGGGUGGGCCCUGGGGCUCGCCCAGGACAGCUCAGCCUCCCAGCCCUGGGCAGCCCUGCUGCCUGCCUGCUCCCUCCACUCCUACCACCUGCCCAGGUGGGACUCUGCCUGCCUUCUUGUCCCCGGUGCUUUGUAGGAGUUAGACCACAGGUAUCCUCUUCAUCAGAGGGAGAAGAGCUCACAACCUGGGAGAACUCCAGGCCUGGCCCAGCAAAGAUGUCCUUAUCUUCAGCAGAUGUUGCCCAGUGCAAAGGGAGGCCAGCCUCAGGAGGCACGGACAGUGGCUUGGCAUCCGUCUGAAGGCCCUGCCUGCAGCACGGGAUGCUACAGAGGUCUCCUGUGACAGAGCCUCAUGGGGCAGGCAGGGGUCACAGCUGCUCCUGCGUGAAGAGGCAGAUACAAACCCACGGUGUGGCCUCUGGGGUCCCACAUCCCAGGUAGAGAAUGACCCAGGUCGCUGGCAUCUGUGCCAUCUCUGCUCUCCUGACCACUCAUGGGGGUCCUGGAGAUCCUGACACCAGUGGCCGGGGAGCAGCAGCCCAGGCACAGGUGCCAGUGCACACUCAGAUCCCAUGGUGUGUGCAUACGGCCUUGUCCCGAGGCCUGGGUGCUAUAUGAGGGCCAGGACGCUAACACAGCGGAGGAUACCCACACGUGAGCUGCUCUGGGUUUCCUGGUACCCAAACGGGAUAUGCAGGGUUCCACUGUGCAGUUGCUGUGUAUUUUAGGAUCUCAUCUGCGUGUGCCCCAGCAGGACCACAGCUGUGACCGGCUGCUGCAGAAGGGUCCAGCUCCAGACUGACUUUCUGAGGUCACAGACGGAGCCUCACCCCAUCCAAGGUGAUGUCCUGGACUCCCAGUGUGCUCCCCAGAGAGCAGGGUGAGUGCGUGGCAUUCUUUUGGCGGGCGUGGGCGCCUCUGUGGACCUGGCGUGAGGCUUUUCUGUUUCUGAGUCUCCUGUGGACCAUCUGUCUUCUGUGUGGCUGCUGAGGGAUCACACUGGGGUGACCAUGCAGGUGGCUGAAUGAGAACAGGACCCCCAUGCUGCACAGCCCUGCAUGACCCCGGGGGUGGCCCCAGAAGCGGGUGGGCGAGGCUGGGCGGCAGGGAUUGGCUGAGAUCCUAUGAAGAGCCCAAGGGCAGCGGAAGGCGGCAAUGCCAGGGUCCCUUUCUUCGCCAGGUACCUGGGGCCCAGCCUGGGCGGCAGGAGGGGACUCAGCCCCUCGCCCAGGCAGGAAGGCUCCCAAGCAGAGGCCCCUCCCUUGUGCACUCCCCAGCCCCCACCUGAGGCACUGGGAUUGGGACUAAUAAAACACCCACCUCGCAGAAGACAGCUUUAUCUUGUUGAUCGGAAGUCUGCCAGCCCAAUUUAUGAUGGAACAUAAGAUCUCCAAAUCUGAAUUUAUGCGCUGUAGCGUAACGAGAGGUCAAUGAGAUUAAACGGGGGCUCAGGAGAGGACCAGCGUCAGGCUCACUCGAGGCGCUGCACAGAAAACCCAAGCCAGAGCCCCUGGGCCCAGCCCAGGCAAGACCAGAAAAGGAGGGGCAGGUGGGAGACCAGCCUGGGGCUCCAGGGAAGGCCGCAGGAUGGAGGCAGGAGAGCCAGCUGGCCUGGGGCAACCCUGGGAUGGCUCCCGGAUCCAGGAGAGCAGAGGGGUGAUGAGGGCUCCCUCAGGGCUGGGGAGCCUGCUCCUGGUCUCAGACCCACCCCCCUUCAGCUGCCACACCCUGGGUACUCCUGAUUCUGAGGACAGUUGGGCGCCUGCCCUGAGGCAGGUUUAAGGACAGAGCUCUGACCCUGGCCCAGGGCUGCUUUGGUGCCCAUGAACUCGGCUUCUGGCUCAGAGCAGUUCCCUGCACCCCUUCCUGAGCCCUCUGUCCUCUGGAACCCGUGGGCAGGGUGAGGGACCAGUGCUCUGUCUGGGUGGGGGCCUGGGCGCCCAGCCAGCACACGGCUGAGCUUAGGGCAGACCCUGACUUCAGAAUUUAUACAAAUAAACGCAAUGAAAAGUGCUGGCAGCCUGA
Long non-coding RNA from Rhinopithecus roxellana (golden snub-nosed monkey), 4668 nucleotides. RefSeq lists it as uncharacterized. Lineage: Eukaryota; Metazoa; Chordata; Mammalia; Primates; Cercopithecidae. The transcript is spliced from 2 exons. The record is from RefSeq and is a predicted model, not a curated record.